This is a long non-coding RNA of Camelina sativa (false flax), 2019 nucleotides long. RefSeq lists it as uncharacterized. Lineage: Eukaryota; Viridiplantae; Streptophyta; Magnoliopsida; Brassicales; Brassicaceae. The record is from RefSeq and is a predicted model, not a curated record.
UUUCCUUUGCUAUUAUAUAUGAUUAUGAGAUUAUCUACAUUACUCUUUUGUAACACAACAACUCUUAAUGUGUAUGUAAAUGUAUGUAUCUGAGUUUAAUGAGAGUAAAUAAAGUUACUGAGGAUGUUGGACCAUGAGGGGGACAAAAGUGAAAGUCUAUGAUGGGAGGAAAAGAGAGAGAUCAACUAAUAAUAACAUUACGAAGAAAAAAAAAGAAAAAAACAGGAAACUCUGCUACCUAUAUGAACACACAGUAGUAUAUACAUGAAUGUAAACAAUGUAUGUGCAGUUUUCGGAAUCUGACUUCCCUCUUUUUCGGACGAAAGCAGAUGUUUCAUUCUGCUUCAUGUCUUAUUAGCCAAACCCAAUAAAGUAAGUAUUUUCUUGCCUGCGUUACUUCCCCUUCUCUUUUUCUUUUCUUGAUCCUUGGGAUUUGCUCUCUUUUACACCCUUUUUCGGUUUUUGCCCCAAUAUUCUUCUUUUCUUACUGUUUUUACCCUCUAAAACCCUUCGACCCCCUAUAGAUUCUAUAACCCGUAGACCAAAACGACGGUAGGGUACACGAAAACAAAUUCGCAGUUUGGUUAAAGCUUGAUGAAACACGAGACUUUGAUUCCUGUGUAAUACACAGUUUGUUUCAGAACGCCCAUAGCUUUUGAGAACAAUUAAAUUGAGUCGAUAUAACUAUUUUACAUCAUGUAACAAAAAAACAAAAAUAAAAACGUUUUCCAUCAUCACCUAACUUUCAUGCUCGCUGUUACUCGUUAGUCGUCGUUACCAACCAAUUUUAUGGUUUUAACUUUUUUAGGUUGGAAUAGUACUAUAUAGAAAUACAAUAAUUGCAAGAUAUUUUAAUUAUUCUCCGCUUAUAUAGUUUUGUAUGAAACAUCCCAAUAGUGGGUAAGUUAAUGUGAAUUUUGUCAGAUUAUGAAGUCUGUUUUCUGGUUAGGAGAGAUCAUCUCUCAUUGUGAUAGGAGGAAGUAGUUGUUGAUCGAUGCUUUGGCCGUGGGCUAUAUUGGUACAACUCAUUCGCAGAAACUUCAGAAGAUGUUCGAUUUGUUUGUUUAGAUAUAGUGUUUGUCUUCGUUAUUAUUGGUAUUUUGCCUCUAUUCUUAGUUGUUGGGUUCGGUCUAUUUCCUUUUUGGCCUUCAAAUUCUCUAUUUAGUAGUUUAAGUUGUUUCCGAUGAUUUAUCCAUUGUUCGUCGGCUUUAGACUCUUUCUUUUGGGCUUUAGAUUCCGGGGAUAUCUUUGUUUUCCGCCGACUUAAGAUUUAUUUCACGAUGUAUCCUUUAAGUUUAAUAAAUAACAUGAGAUGACAAAAAAAAAAAAAGAUAAAAAACCAAAACGAAAAAUAAAAUAAAACAACAAAGAACCACUAAAAUCACCAUCUUAUCAUCAACAAGAAUGAGUCAUUUGGAAAAGAGAUAUUUUUAGUGAUUUGUCACUUAUGUGGUAUGUAAGGGUAGGUGUCCUUGCAAGUGAGGGUAUAUAUGUCUAUUACACACAUAUGUACACUCAUAUAGAUUCAAAAGUUGAUGCAUUUGUACCUAAUUCCAAACAAUACAAAGCUCUCUUUAAUAAUUAUAUAUAUAGAGACAUUGAUAGAUACCAUGUACAUGUUAUAUUUAUUAUGUACUCAAAAGUUUGUGACCCAAUUUUGGAUAUGCAGUCCAAAGCUUCCAGCUGUGGACAUCCUUACAAUAUUCUUUCAGUUGUUUAUGACUUCAUCCUACGAGGUGUGAGCAUGACUUUAAGCAACAAUAGUUUUUGCAAACCACUCACGGAUUAAACACCAUGUUGAAGCCCAAAGCGCACAUGAUGCAACACGUACGAAUCGAGUUUCUUUGCAAUAGAAAUCGUCUAUAUAUGAACACAUUGACUUUAGAUGAAUCUAUGCCAUGUCAAUUACCAUUUUAUCUUGUUAAUUUAACCAUAUUAUUUUUCCAUAAGUUAUAUUUGUAAUCCAGAGUUAUAUUUGUAAAAAUAAUGCAAUAAUAAAUAGAUAGACAUCAAAACCUA